GGCGGGACACGUGGUAUCCUGUCUGAAUAUGGGGGGACCAUCCUCCAAGGCUAAAUACUCCUGACUGACCGAUAGUGAACCAGUACCGUGAGGGAAAGGCGAAAAGAACCCCGGCGAGGGGAGUGAAAAAGAACCUGAAACCGUGUACGUACAAGCAGUGGGAGCACCCUUUGGGGUGUGACUGCGUACCUUUUGUAUAAUGGGUCAGCGACUUAUAUUCUGUAGCAAGGUUAACCGAAUAGGGGAGCCGGAGGGAAACCGAGUCUUAAUUGGGCGUUAAGUUGCAGGGUAUAGACCCGAAACCCGGUGAUCUAGCCAUGGGCAGGUUGAAGGUUGGGUAACACUAACUGGAGGACCGAACCGACUAAUGUUGAAAAAUUAGCGGAUGACCUGUGGCUGGGGGUGAAAGGCCAAUCAAACCGGGAGAUAGCUGGUUCUCCCCGAAAGCUAUUUAGGUAGCGCCUCGUGAAUUCAUCUCCGGGGGUAGAGCACUGUUUCGGCUAGGGGGCCAUCCCGGCUUACCAACCCGAUGCAAACUGCGAAUACCGGAGAAUGUUAUCACGGGAGACACACGGCGGGUGCUAACGUCCGUCGUGAAGAGGGAAACAACCCAGACCGCCAGCUAAGGUCCCAAAGUCAUGGUUAAGUGGGAAACGAUGUGGGAAGGCCCAGACAGCCAGGAUGUUGGCUUAGAAGCAGCCAUCAUUUAAAGAAAGCGUAAUAGCUCACUGGUCGAGUCGGCCUGCGCGGAAGAUGUAACGGGGCUAAACCAUGCACCGAAGCUGCGGCAGCGACGCUGAUGCGUUGUUGGGUAGGGGAGCGUUCUGUAAGCCUGCGAAGGUGGCCUGUGAGGGUUGCUGGAGGUAUCAGAAGUGCGAAUGCUGACAUAAGUAACGAUAAAGCGGGUGAAAAGCCCGCUCGCCGGAAGACCAAGGGUUCCUGUCCAACGUUAAUCGGGGCAGGGUGAGUCGACCCCUAAGGCGAGGCCGAAAGGCGUAGUCGAUGGGAAACGGGUUAAUAUUCCCGUACUUGGUGUUACUGCGAAGGGGGGACGGAGAAGGCUAUGUUGGCCGGGCGACGGUUGUCCCGGUUUAAGCGUGUAGGUGUGUGUUCCAGGUAAAUCCGGUUCACUUUAACACUGAGGCGUGAUGACGAGGCACUACGGUGCUGAAGCAACAAAUGCCCUGCUUCCAGGAAAAGCCUCUAAGCAUCAGGUAACAUCAAAUCGUACCCCAAACCGACACAGGUGGUCAGGUAGAGAAUACCAAGGCGCUUGAGAGAACUCGGGUGAAGGAACUAGGCAAAAUGGUGCCGUAACUUCGGGAGAAGGCACGCUGACACGUAGGUGAAGUGAUUUACUCAUGGAGCUGAAGUCAGUCGAAGAUACCAGCUGGCUGCAACUGUUUAUUAAAAACACAGCACUGUGCAAACACGAAAGUGGACGUAUACGGUGUGACGCCUGCCCGGUGCCGGAAGGUUAAUUGAUGGGGUCAGCGCAAGCGAAGCUCCUGAUCGAAGCCCCGGUAAACGGCGGCCGUAACUAUAACGGUCCUAAGGUAGCGAAAUUCCUUGUCGGGUAAGUUCCGACCUGCACGAAUGGCGUAAUGAUGGCCAGGCUGUCUCCACCCGAGACUCAGUGAAAUUGAACUCGCUGUGAAGAUGCAGUGUACCCGCGGCAAGACGGAAAGACCCCGUGAACCUUUACUAUAGCUUGACACUGAACAUUGAGCCUUGAUGUGUAGGAUAGGUGGGAGGCUUUGAAGUGUGGACGCCAGUCUGCAUGGAGCCGACCUUGAAAUACCACCCUUUAAUGUUUGAUGUUCUAACGUGGACCCGUGAUCCGGGUUGCGGACAGUGUCUGGUGGGUAGUUUGACUGGGGCGGUCUCCUCCUAAAGAGUAACGGAGGAGCACGAAGGUUGGCUAAUCCUGGUCGGACAUCAGGAGGUUAGUGCAAUGGCAUAAGCCAGCUUGACUGCGAGCGUGACGGCGCGAGCAGGUGCGAAAGCAGGUCAUAGUGAUCCGGUGGUUCUGAAUGGAAGGGCCAUCGCUCAACGGAUAAAAGGUACUCCGGGGAUAACAGGCUGAUACCGCCCAAGAGUUCAUAUCGACGGCGGUGUUUGGCACCUCGAUGUCGGCUCAUCACAUCCUGGGGCUGAAGUAGGUCCCAAGGGUAUGGCUGUUCGCCAUUUAAAGUGGUACGCGAGCUGGGUUUAGAACGUCGUGAGACAGUUCGGUCCCUAUCUGCCGUGGGCGCUGGAGAACUGAGGGGGGCUGCUCCUAGU
Molecule: ribosomal RNA, 2283 nt
Filed under: Salmonella enterica subsp. enterica serovar Montevideo
Lineage: Bacteria; Pseudomonadati; Pseudomonadota; Gammaproteobacteria; Enterobacterales; Enterobacteriaceae
Description: partial 23S ribosomal RNA
Rfam family: Bacterial large subunit ribosomal RNA
Source: RNAcentral